AUGCAUGAACCUCUGCCAGUGCGCGUGUGCGGCACCAGGAAGCACUGAGACGUGUUCGAGGCUGUGCUCUGAAGCCCGCCUGUCUGCCUGUCUGCCUGUCUGCCAAUUGCGGACGCUGUGAUCCCGGUAAAUCAUCCAUGUGGCACCACUGCGGCAGGCAGUGCAGAGCUUGAAUGCAGCACUCAUCGACUACCCAGCGUACGAUAGCGACGACGCACAUUCCGCGUGUUGACACGCGCCGGGUACCUAUGGUCGGUGGCUGGAGAUCGACAGGGAAUGCCAGGUACCGACGCCUUACAAAACGCUUUUGCCCGAACUGUGCCUGCUAUGCAAUGCGUAUCGUCGGUCGAGCGACUGACGUCACACUGCAGCGCGCCCAGUAGCGAGAUGGUGCCAGAAACCUCGUACACGUCAUCCAGUCAUGCGUCAGGACGAUACCUGGAGCUAUGAGCACGUCAUUUUGACUCUUUCGCUGCAGAGUUCAGCGACGAUCGACGACGGCAUUCGGGAACUGUUUCUGUACCAUCUCCGUAUGGCAACAGCAGCGGGGUGCUUCCAGGGGCGCAACGGACCCGUGCGCCACACUUGCCACCCGGAGAGUCGCUUGAACGAAUUAUGAUACCCCGAUGCCAAGUAGGGUCUGCAGUUCGUCGAAAUCAGGGUCGUGACUGGUGUGUGGACUACCAUGCAGUCGAAUACGGGUGAGUCUCGGCCGCUUUCCUGGCUACCGAUAACCACGGCACAUCCUGGAAUCCCCGAUUCGUCUCAUCGAUCCCAGACUAUCAGGAAGGUUUCAGCGACAUCGACGCGCUCGAAGCGAGAACGCAUAACGCUUCACGAUGCGAGGGUUUGCCUUCACCACGAGGGACUCGGAUGCUUCCGAGUCGUUCAUGCUGUGCAUUCUGAUGAACGAGUUGAGGUUAGGCGCAAGCGCCACCUGUUUCUACGUGCUCAUCCUCUGACCGAGAUCGCUCACAAAGAUACGCGUUCACGUACCCUGGACAUUGCCUAUCGUAUCGAGGAAGCGGGAUGCAGUGCGCGAUCCGCCACAAAAACGACCGCAGCGCGCUGGAUGCGAUGCAAAAGCGCAAAGGCACCCCUGCUGUGCACGAAACGCAACGAAUGGCGGCGACUUGCAAGAGAUCCACAUUGAAACUGCUACAACAAAGCGGUUCAUAACCGCUGGGCGAGCGCUAUAUAGCUGAUACGUGAAGAAACGCAAUACCACAAACGGCGCUUCUAGGACGGCCAACACACUCGCGUCAUUCGCUCGAUGCAGCAGAGCAAUUUUUACAUGCACCGUCGACGAAACCCAGCGCCCUGCCUGGACUUGUUUCGCAAUAUCGCAAGAACAAAGAUGCGCUCGUAGGUACCAGAACAUGCAGCGCAUUGCUCUCUCGAGUGAAGCGUGCCGUUGAAUCCGCAUCCAAUGUCAUGCAGAAUCUGGAACUGGCCCAGCAUACACGAAUUCAUAAUUGCCGGCAGGUACAGCACCUGUUGACGCGGCUACACCAAGCCGCAUCUCGACGAGACUCGAUUAUGCUGUUUUCGUAUCCCGUCAGCGGGUACGGAAAACGGAAACGGCAGCGGAUCGCACCCCGUGAUUUCGUGCUUAUGGAUCGGAAGCGCUGUUGUUCCUGUCAUGGUGGCCUCGACGAGAGGUGCCACUCGCAAUCCAAACAUUCGCCACGAAUCAGGCUACUGGUGCAGAUGCAGUUGAUGGUUCAGCAGACGUUGUCAAAUGACAUCCUCUGUCGCAUACGAUACUGCACAACGAACGGAUUUAACGAUGCUGCACAUGUAGAACAAGUGCAUCCGAGGAGACGCUCCACGUUCCGCAGCGUAGAUUGCUUUCUGCCUUGACACUAUUCCAAAGCGAACCGUCGCCCCAGGUGUCUCCAUACAGCGCGGAGCGUCUGUGCUUCGACCGCGCAUCCAUUUACCACUGCAACCAUUGAACAAGUCGUGCUUCUCGGCGUUAUCUAGACCGGGUCCAACGGUGAUGUGCAUCGAACAAGUGACCUGUGAGCAACAAUGGGCGUACUGGGGAUGACAGACUCCGCAACUCGCGCGAGGUGCUCCUCGAAACCCCGUAAUACUCGGGGAAUACGUCAGGCCAUAAAGCCGAAUGGCCCCGACGAUGCAUCAUUGCAUGCAAAGAAGCAGCAUAACCUGGAAACCCCGUAAUACUCGGGGAAAACGUCAGGCCAUAAAGCUGAAUGGCCUCGACGAUGCAUCAUUGCAUGCAAAGAAGCAGCAUAACCUGGAGUUGCCUUAGCAACCCGAACAUCGAUCAAACAUAGUCGAGUGUUGCCGGGUCUGGUUGCCAGAAGACCACAUUCUGACACGCGCUUACGAGCAGUGCGUACUGCGGAUUAAACCCUAACGCCCGCGAAUACAUGGAAUGCCCGUGCAGAACGUGACACGGAUUCCCCGUCGCCCUUUCCCAAAUGUGAAUGCUUGCAUCUUCUGAUCCCGAAAGCACGUACUGUGAGUCCGGACUAAAGCAUGCGUCAAGCUCAUAGGCCUGGUCAUUCGCGUGGCCUCUACAGAGUGUCUGCAGACAACCGUUGAAUGCGUCCAGUAUCUGAAUGCGUGGAUUCGGUUCAGCCGCACCUACGAGCAGUGAGCGGCCGUCGCCGCUAAACUUGAGUACGGUUGGCUCAGAGGUUGUUACGUUGCUCUCAAAGUCGAUAAAUGGGCCCUCAUCCCAUUUGCGGAGAUCGUAGAGCUUAAUCACGAGUUUCAACAGGUCACUGAAUGCUACUGCAGCGACAAGACCAGAUGGAUCGACGGCAACUGCGGGGCGCCCUCGUACCUGCAGCACGCCUGCACAAUGGGGAUAACGAAUGUCCCAGAGCCGCAUGGUGCCGUCCAAUGCUGCUGACAUGAACGAAUCAUCAUUCGGCGUCACUGCGAUGGAAACAACGCGCGCACGAUGACCACGAAAGUACCGUAUGUAUUUGCUCUCCGUUAACGACAGAUAGCGAAUAUGAUCGUCCCAGGACAGCGGCGCAUUGUCCGGUGCCCGGGCUUGGAGUGAACCGCUGCCGGGGUCCAGAACUGGUUUGCUUGCGCAUAGUACUGCAGAUUUGUGGUUACCGAAGCGAAUGACACCGCACCCGUAGCGUUUCACUGGUAUUGUCGUCAAGAGUCUGCCUUGAACGGCGCUGUACACACUGAUGAGGCCAUCAUCACCACCGGCCGCUACGAUUUCGCCAUCAACCGAAAAGUCUAGAGUGCAGACCUGUUCUUGAUGGACAUUUUUGAAGACUUUUGUUUUGCGCAGGCUCUGCAUCGCUCGGUUGUUUAGCCUCACUAUCGGAAGGUCUCGCUGCUGCGAAGUGAAAACUCUGGGCUCCAUGCUCCAAUUCCGUACUGAACAGCGAACGAAAUUGACAACGUUCACUGCCAGGUUCUUUGAGCUUAAAGGUAGCGC
This is an RNA transcript of Cyanidioschyzon merolae strain 10D, 3439 nucleotides long. RefSeq lists it as hypothetical. The transcript has a single exon. The record is from RefSeq and is a predicted model, not a curated record. Lineage: Eukaryota; Rhodophyta; Bangiophyceae; Cyanidiales; Cyanidiaceae.